GACGAACGCUGGCGGCGUGCUUAACACAUGCAAGUCGAGCGGUAAGGCCCUUUCGGGGGUACACGAGCGGCGAACGGGUGAGUAACACGUGGGUGACCUGCCCUUAGCUCUGGGAUAAGCCUGGGAAACUGGGUCUAAUACCGGAUAUGACUCCAUGACGCAUGUUGUGGGGUGGAAAGCCUUGCGCGGCUAGGGAUGGGCCCGCGGCCUAUCAGCUUGUUGGUGGGGUGAUGGCCUACCAAGGCGACGACGGGUAGCCGGCCUGAGAGGGCGACCGGCCACACUGGGACUGAGACACGGCCCAGACUCCUACGGGAGGCAGCAGUGGGGAAUCUUGCGCAACGGGCGAAAGCCUGACGCAGCGACGCCGCGUGAGGGAUGACGGCCU
This 388-nucleotide ribosomal RNA is filed under the name uncultured bacterium. RNAcentral's name for it is "bacterial SSU rRNA". It matches the Rfam family "Bacterial small subunit ribosomal RNA", at positions 28 to 417 of the family's 1533-position model. The record is from RNAcentral.